This 90-nucleotide small RNA is filed under the name Pedobacter zeae. RNAcentral's name for it is "Flavo-1 RNA". It matches the Rfam family "Flavo-1 RNA". Lineage: Bacteria; Pseudomonadati; Bacteroidota; Sphingobacteriia; Sphingobacteriales; Sphingobacteriaceae. The record is from RNAcentral.
AAAUAAACCUGAUAGAAAUGGAAAUCCUUUUUGUAACCCGUGCAUAGCGAGAGGGAAACAAAAAGAUUGGAAUGAAUAGCAGGACUGAAA